Molecule: long non-coding RNA, 4862 nt
Organism: Bombus huntii
Lineage: Eukaryota; Metazoa; Arthropoda; Insecta; Hymenoptera; Apidae
Exons: 2
Source: RefSeq, a predicted model, not a curated record
AUUUAUUUUGAAACACAACUAAUUACAUCGAGUGAUCAACAUGUGAUUAUAAGCAAAUCUCCUCUUCACUUUUUGUUCUUCAUUUUUCCAACGUACUUUAUCGUAAAAUAUACUUGGACGAUAAUUUUGAAAUUUCAAAUUCGAUUGAAUCAUAAACAAAAUAUUACAAAAUUUCGAAAUGAUAUAUUCAUGCGUAGAUAAAUAAUAAUCAGAUAGAUUAUUCCGCAUAUAGAUAACGACUACUGUAUUACUUUCUUUUCUUUAAUUUUCCCAACAUUGCUGGUCAACCCUCGAGACAUGACGCCAUUUUUAAAAUCUCGAAACUUUAACCCCUUUGUUUACUUUUUUUUCUUCUCUUUCGCUAAUAAGAAAUCACAGUUUAUUCAUAGCCUGUGCUAUGUUUCCCUCGAAAUUUUCUCAACUACUUUAUAAUUACAUAUAGUUUAAAAAUUUUAACUAUACGACAAUUCUAAUGAAAAUCGAAACUUGUUAAGAAAUCGAAAUUAAUUAAAAUCUAUUGUUUGUUUAAAUCUUGGAUUAAAGAGUAUUCUGUUCCAUAAUAAUUUAUUAUACUAUAAUUAUUAAUUCUUCCAUUCUAUUUACUUCUAUAAUUGUAUUACUUAAUUAAAUUAACGUGCAAUGUGUUGUCUAUUAUUUAUAUAAAAUACGGAAGUUAACAACUACAAUUUGAUAAAUUAAUGUUUUGAAACGAUUUCAAGCAAUUAUUAUGGUAUUAUUUCAAAUAGACUUAAUUGUGUUCAAGCUUAUCUGUUUAAGAUAAUUAUAUAUAAAAUAUCUCUAACGCUACAAUUUAUAUUUAAAUUAUUAUCUCUAAAUAUUUUGUUUGCAUUUCUCAUUACUUAUAAUUGCUUUUACGACUCUGCUAUUAUUUUGAUUUUUUCUCUGUCUGUCAUAGGUAUACAGAAUAUACAAUGAAAAAUUAAAAAAUAUAUGAAAAAAACAUUGUAGUAAUGUUUCUUUGUUAUUGAAACGUUACAUGGAAUUCGAUUUGGAUAUCUUAGGAUUAAAAACACGAAUGAAACACAAGGUUCACUGUUUUUACAUUAUAACUAGAAUCAUGUUUAAUGGAUUGUGACGAACAGUAAGAGAUUAUUUUGGAGGUCAAUCGUUCGUGUAUAUCUUUGAUACAUUAUGCAACGUUUCAGAUUGAUGCUUAUUGCCACGUGCUUACUCUCUGGCCGGUCAUUUCGUAUCAUUAUUUACGAGAAUUUUACAAUCAUUUCAUUUUACAAGAAAUACAUCAACCGGUGCGUCGUAUAAUAUCUAACAAUUUCAACAUUUUUUAAACAAAUAUUCUUAUUAUAUAUGCCUCGUAUUGAUUACUUAAAAUUAAACGCAUAAAGUAGGUUCAACUUUCGUAAUUAAUGUCGAGGAACGUCAGCCUAUUGAUAAAGUGCAAAGUUAACGAUGCAAGUACAUGUAGUUUGUCGACAUGUAGCCACAUCUUUGUUCCUAUAAAUAAAUGACGAGAGCCGCGUAGUCUCGGUUUAUCACUUCAGUGCAUACUCUUAUGCAAGCUUUACCGCGUGGAAAAAUCAAUAAUCACCUGCGACGUCUCUACCUAAGAUGUUACGUCAGAACUUUUGGUAAUUUUAUUUUCGAUUGUUGCACUAUAAAUUAACCGUAAUCAGAGAUCAAAAGUAACAUUUAUUUUUACAAUUUUUAUAGGGGGGGGGGGGGGGGGGAGAGAUUGACAUACUGGUAACUUUUGUUGUAAUAGAAGACAGUGAACACUAAGUACCAAAGAAAUUUUUCAAAAUAUUAAAUGAUUAAACAAUAUUAAUUUUCAAGUAUUCUACUUACGAAUACUUGAACCCCUUAUAUAUGAUUCCAGUAUUUUUGGUUACCGAUUACCAUUAUCUACGUGAGAUAUUUUUUGUUGCCGACAGCCAUUAUGGCAGAAUCAUUUUUUGGCUGUCGAUAACUAUUAUUCGUGACGGAGUUAUUUUUAGUCACCAAUGACCAUUUUUCAUGACUGAGGGUUUUUGGUUACUCCUAACCAUUAUAGUUUUGGUUACUGAUACCUAUUAUGUAAAAAAGCAUUUUUUUAUCGCUGAUAACAAUUAUCAACGACAUAAUUUUUUGCUACCGAUAAUCAUCAUAAAUUAGAGAAUUUCUUUGGUGACUAAUAACCGUUAUUUUAGGCGAAUUUCUUUUUGACUGCUGAUAACCAUUAUCAAAGACGGAACUUUUUUUAGGUACCGAUAAUCAUUAUCGAUGACGGGAUUUUUUCGUUACCCCAUUACCAAUUGUCGAUAACCCGAUUUUGUUUUAGCAUCCAUUAUCAAUGGCGAAAAAUCGUUUUGGUUGAUAAGCAAAAAGAUUUUUAUUAUUUAUCAUGAUUAUUCGUAAUCAAAUUGUUUUAAUUGAAUAAGUCUUAUAGCAUAACUUUUUAAACUUGUGUUUUUCCCCUUUUACCCGCACUUUCAAACGAUAACAAUUCUCCAUAUUUGCGCAUUGUUGCUUGUUCAGUCGAUACGACUUCUUGUUUUUAAAUUAUUCAAUGGCCGUUAGUAAAUAUAGAAUAUUUUUGUAAUAAGAAUGUAAAACGUCCAAGUAUAUUUUAUAACACUUCCAGGGCCUUCAUAAAGCUUGCCGCUAUCGUGUUUAAAACAUAGUAUCGAGUUUCAUGUCCGAAAUAAAUGCCAGCAAUUUAUGUCACAGUUUUACUUAAAAUUCAACAGUCUAAAAAACUCAGACAGUGCAUACUUUUUGUUGCUCUCAAGCUUAAGUUUAUAGAAAAUUAUUAACACUGGGAAAUAUUGAAAUGUUUCAAACGAUACAGGUAAAGAAAAGCUGCUCGAUUCCUUAUCAACAGAGUAUAUAUUAUGCAAAGUUCUCGAUUACAUAAUGCAAUUUUUUACGAUAAUGUUUCGAAAGACGUUCGCUUGCUACGAUUUAGAGAAUUGUUUGAAGUUAGUAACCCCUCCCACCAAACCACACCAAACAUCCCAAAGGAGAUAAGAGAGAAGCUUAUACCAGAGACAAACACAGAAUCUGGAAAUUCGAUCCGAUGUACGAGAGAAUCGAAGUAGCUGCAGACACGCAAACGUGAAGAUUAUAUCCAGUUACAGUUACCAACACGUAUAAAUAAUAUAGAGCAGCUUGGACUAAUUGGAUAGGAAGAAAUUAGCUUAACCGGUAAAUGUCGGUAAAUACAACAUGUUUCAUAGGAUUAGAGAAACAGCGAAAUGUACGAUAUGCGGUAAUUGCGAGCUCGAAAGCAGAGAGUACAUGUUAUACAAAUUUCCACAGCGCUGAACGUGCAGAUUGCACAUUAUAACGGAAUAUGCCGGAGUACUAUUAAUAACCAAAGAAGAACAAGUGAAAUCAAUAUACGUAUUGCUUUACACAAAUAAUGCUAAAACUAAAAGUCUUCUGCUUAAGUAAACUUAAAUGAGAAUUUAAAAUGAGAAAAAUCUCUGAGGACACCUAGAUAAGACUGCGAUAGACGGAAGCUCGUAGAAGGCUAUUAUUGUGUUAUUAAUGACUCAUCAAACACGAAACGAGGAUAUCUAAGAUUUAAUUUUUGAUAAAAUCCUAUUGAUGAAAAGUCAAAUUGCAAUGUUUCUUAUUACAUUCUUACGUAACAGUAUUUACAUUUGUAUUCUUUUCAGCGGAGGACAGAUCAAACGGAUUAUUAUUCUAUUGACUUUCAACAAUGCUUAUUUAUAAUUUAUAAACAGCAACACAUCGUGUAGAUAUGUCUCACGUGUUCUCAUUGUCACUCGUCCUCGCUCUCGGAAAACUUCUGUAUGACUUUGAACUUUGGACAUCGAAUUACGAGGAGAACGAGUGUUAUUAAAAAGAAUUAUUCCUAUUCUCUACAUUUUCUAAUUUUCUAAUUAUUAUUGUUACUCUCUGCAUUUUCCUAAUUGUUUAAAUAAUUUUCAACAUUGUCACAGACUUCAAAAUUGUAAGUGUACUCUUAAACUAGUUUUUCAUGACUCUAUAUGAAAUAACUUGCUGUCAUAAAAUUGUCCUAGUGUUUGAAAAGAGUGAACAUUUGCAGAAGUUUUAUGUUUUGAUCCAGGAAAUUCAGAGGAAAGACAAGAUGAGAACGCUACAGAAAGAAUUGCUCUAAAAUACUAUAUGCAUCACUGGUGUUGCAUUUACAAAAAAUGUUGUCUAGCGCCAAUAUCUGUUUAUUGAAUUAUCUUAAAAUAAACUUUCAAAACUUGACAUGAAAAGUGUAAAAAAAAUGCACAAUGGGGCGCAUAAAUUGCUAUUAAUUGUUGUUAACCAAAUAAUAGGUCUUCCAUCUCACACAAAUACUAAUGCUUCCUCCUCCUCCAGUGAAAAUACACUUUGGGAAGGUUCUAAACUAGUCCUCAACAACUAUCGAGGACUUUCUCGACAGAGACCCACCUUCCUGUCCAAUGCAGUUUUCAGGACAUUAAAAGCUGCAACUGCUUUACGAUAGCCCAUUGCUUCCGUGCAGUUACUUCAACAACCAUCUGCGCUCAUUCUCCGGUCCAACAUUGUCGCUCUGUCCUCCAUCCGUACGUCCAUUUUAUCUAAAAGUUAGCGUCCACCGAAAUGUCCCAUCUUUCCCCAAAUGUUACAUCUAAUUAAUGAGACUAAUUGAGCGACAGUGUGUUCAUCUGCUUGAGAAUAGUCAAAAGAUGACGAUCGUUGAGGUUAGGUUGGAGUUAGGUUGAGGUUAGGUUGUCUCCAUGGCGAGCGGUAGUGGAAUGGCGCCCAGAAGUGGAACUGCAGUCACAGCCUGGUCAAUAUAACUCGACUCAUAACUUUUUUGUCGGACAUUACUCUGCUAUCCUCGCAGCAACAGAGUGUCCAUGAGGAUUUCUCUACGUUAAAAAAAAAAAAAAAAAGAAGAA